This 663-nucleotide ribosomal RNA is filed under the name uncultured fungus. Its description in RNAcentral is "eukaryotic LSU rRNA". The stretch from base 197 to 353 matches the Rfam family "5.8S ribosomal RNA". Lineage: Eukaryota; Fungi. The record is from RNAcentral.
CAUUAACAAAUCUCCAAACACCCUGUGUAAACGUUUGCGUUCCCUUGGUGUCUGCAUACGUGUGUGUGUGUGUGUGUGUGUGUGUGCUUUUAGCACGCACUACGCACGCAGACAGACAGUGGCUCUAAUCAAGCCACAGCCAAGGGAGCGUAUCUUAUACCAUGUCGAUUGACUGCCUUAGACCAUGAAAGCAAACAACUUUUAACAAUGGAUCUCUUGGCUCUUGCAACGAUGAAGAACGCAGCAAAAUGCGAAAAGUCAUGUGACCUGCAUACUUCGUGAAUCAUCAAAUCUUUGAACGCACCUUGCACCUAGUGGCUCUUUCGUCACUAGGUAUACUUGUUUGAGUAUCACAUCAACACCUCACCCGUGAGUGUUGUUGGUAGCAGCAGCAUGGGCGAGCCUGCACACUACCAACACCACCUCAUCGAGCGUGGAUUUGAGACGUCUGAGCACGACAUAGAACAGUGGAUGGGCGAUGCACUGGUCGGUCGAAUGCAGUGUCUUUAAAUGUAGGCUUGGCUAAGGUCCAGCAUACGGUCUAAUGGGAUAACAUCCUGUCGUUAGACUGCUGGCUCCUUGACGGCAGGCAAGAGGUCGAGAGCGUGCGCGUGGGGAGUGCGUCGUGAUCGACAACGGACGGCGCAAGCUGUCUUGACGUUG